Molecule: unclassified non-coding RNA, 403 nt
Filed under: soil metagenome
Description: partial contains 5.8S ribosomal RNA, internal transcribed spacer 2, and large subunit ribosomal RNA
Rfam family: 5.8S ribosomal RNA (bases 1-121)
Source: RNAcentral
GAUGAAGAACGUAGCGAAAUGCGAUAAGUAAUGUGAAUUGCAGAAUUCAGUGAAUCAUCGAAUCUUUGAACGCACCUUGCGCCCUUUGGCCAUUCCGAAGGGCAUGCCUGUUUGAGUAUCAUGAACACCUCAACUCUCAUGGCUCGCCAUGAUGAGCUUGGACUUUGGGGGUCUUGCUGGCCUGUGGUCGGCUCCUCUCAAAUGGAUCAGCUUGCCAGUGUUUGGUGGCAUCACAGGUGUGAUAACUAUCUGCGCUUGUGGUUUUCCAUCAGAUAACCUUCAGUGAUGGAGGUUCGCUGGAGCUCAUAAACGUCUCCCCUAAGCGGGGACAGCCCUUUGAAUGUUUGAUCUCAAAUCAGGUAGGACUACCCGCUGAACUUAAGCAUAUCCAAUAAGCGGAGGA